RNAcentral lists this ribosomal RNA (466 nucleotides) under uncultured bacterium. Its description in RNAcentral is "partial 16S ribosomal RNA". It matches the Rfam family "Bacterial small subunit ribosomal RNA", at positions 28 to 505 of the family's 1533-position model. The record is from RNAcentral.
GACGAACGCUGGCGGCGUGCUUAACACAUGCAAGUCGAACGGAAAGGCCCUGCUUUUGUGGGGUGCUCGAGUGGCGAACGGGUGAGUAACACGUGAGUAACCUGCCCUUGACUUUGGGAUAACUUCAGGAAACUGGGGCUAAUACCGGAUAGGAGCUCCUGCUGCAUGGUGGGGGUUGGAAAGUUUCGGCGGUUGGGGAUGGACUCGCGGCUUAUCAGCUUGUUGGUGGGGUAGUGGCUUACCAAGGCUUUGACGGGUAGCCGGCCUGAGAGGGUGACCGGCCACAUGGGGACGGGGAUACGGCCCAGCCUCCUAGGGGAGGCAGCGGGGGGGAAUAUUGCACAAGGGGCGGAAGCCUGAUGCAGCAACGCCGCGGGCGGGAUGACGGCCUUGGGGGUGUAAACCGCUUUCCCCGGGGACGAAGCGUGAGUGACGGUAAGGGGUAAAGAAGCACCGGCUAACUACG